GCGCUUGUAGUUCAGUUGGAGAGAGCGUUGCCCUCCGGAGGCAAAGGUAGAGGGUUCGAAUCCCUCCAAGCGCA
The sequence is a transfer RNA, 74 nucleotides long. It matches the Rfam family "tRNA". From Rfam's summary of the family: Transfer RNA (tRNA) molecules are approximately 80 nucleotides in length. Their secondary structure includes four short double-helical elements and three loops (D, anti-codon, and T loops). The record is from Rfam.